This 251-nucleotide ribosomal RNA is filed under the name uncultured bacterium. RNAcentral describes it as "partial 16S ribosomal RNA". It matches the Rfam family "Bacterial small subunit ribosomal RNA", at positions 524 to 776 of the family's 1533-position model. The record is from RNAcentral.
GACAGGGGGGGCAAGUGUUCUUCGGAAUGACUGGGCGUCAAGGGCACGUAGGCGGUGAAUCGGGUUGAAAGUGAAAGUCGCCAAAAAGUGGCGGAAUGCUCUCGAAACCAAUUCACUUGAGUGGGACAGAGGAGAGUGGAAUUUCGUGUGUAGGGGUGAAAUCCGUAGAUCUACGAAGGAAGGCCAAAAGCGAAGGCAGCUCUCUGGGUCCCUACCGACGCUGGGGUGCGAAAGCAUGGGGAGCGAACAGG